This 135-nucleotide small nucleolar RNA is filed under the name Saimiri boliviensis boliviensis (Bolivian squirrel monkey). Its description in RNAcentral is "Small nucleolar RNA SNORA70 (ENSSBOG00000011262.1)". It matches the Rfam family "Small nucleolar RNA SNORA70". Rfam says of the family: snoRNA U70 seems to be exclusive to mammals and is a member of the H/ACA class of snoRNA which contain H (ANANNA) and ACA box motifs. H/ACA box snoRNAs are involved in the conversion of uridines to pseudouridines (5-ribosyluracil) a constituent of structural RNAs (transfer, ribosomal, small nuclear, and small nucleolar). Lineage: Eukaryota; Metazoa; Chordata; Mammalia; Primates; Cebidae. The record is from Rfam by way of RNAcentral.
CUGCAGCCAAUUAAGCCGACUGGGUUUCUUUCCUCGUGGGGGCCCAGUGUGCAAUGGCUGCAAACAGCAGCUUCCUUGGUAGUGCAUGCAGCCUGUUUCCUGUAUGGGUUGCUCUAAGGGACCUUGGAGACAGGC